GGGAAGAUGGGGGGUUGAGGAAGAAAGUCCGGCGACCUGGGUAGUUGGUAGAAGAAGGAAAGAUAAGGAAUAAGUGAAGAAUGGCCAGAAACCGGGUUGAUGGCGAGAACAGAGAGGGGGGGAGAUUAACUUUUAAUUUUCUUUGCGGCUAGGUAGAUGUGAGAUGCUGAGUUAGGGAUAACUUCGAAUUUUUAACUCUUUUUUCUUUUAAUUUUAUUUUUAUAUAUUUUUUGUUAUAAUUUCAUUAAGGGUAAAAUAGUAUAUUUACAUAAAAAAUGGUUUGUAUUAUUAUAUUUUUAUUUGUGUGGAUUUUAUUAACUUUUUGUUAAGAAAAUUGGUUAUUUAGAAGUAUUAACACUGAAA
Molecule: long non-coding RNA, 363 nt
Filed under: Salvia miltiorrhiza (redroot sage)
Lineage: Eukaryota; Viridiplantae; Streptophyta; Magnoliopsida; Lamiales; Lamiaceae
Description: long non-coding RNA (SMIL_LNC013649)
Source: RNAcentral